CGUGUAGGCGGUUUGUUUAGUCUGAUGUGAAAGCCCUGGGCUCAACCCAGGAAGUGCAUUGGAAACUGGCAGACUUGAAUACGGGAGAGGGUAGCGGAAUUCCUAGUGUAGGAGUGAAAUCCGUAGAUAUUAGGAGGAACACCGGUGGCGAAGGCGGCUGCCUGGACCGAUAUUGACGCUGAGACGCGAAAGCGUGGGUAGCAAACA
This 207-nucleotide ribosomal RNA is filed under the name uncultured delta proteobacterium. RNAcentral describes it as "partial 16S ribosomal RNA". It matches the Rfam family "Bacterial small subunit ribosomal RNA", at positions 568 to 774 of the family's 1533-position model. Lineage: Bacteria; Deltaproteobacteria. The record is from RNAcentral.